GACGAACGCUGGCGGCGUGCUUAACACAUGCAAGUCGAACGGUAAGGCCCUUCGGGGUACACGAGUGGCGAACGGGUGAGUAACACGUGGGUGAUCUGCCCUGCACUUCGGGAUAAGCCUGGGAAACUGGGUCUAAUACCGGAUAGGACUCCGGACUGCAUGGUCUGGGGUGGAAAGCUUUUGCGGUGUGGGAUGGGCCCGCGGCCUAUCAGCUUGUUGGUGGGGUGAUGGCCUACCAAGGCGACGACGGGUAGCCGGCCUGGGAGGGUGACCGGCCACACUGGGACGGAGAUACGGCCCAGACUCCUACGGGAGGCAGCGGUGGGGAAUAGUGCACAAUGGGCGCAAGCCUGAUGCAGCGACGCCGCGUGAGGGAUGACGGCCUUCGGGUUGUAAACCUCUUUCAGCAUCGACGAAGCGAAAGUGACGGUAGGUGCAGAAGAAGGACCGGCCAACUACGUGCCAGCAGCCGCCGUAA
This 478-nucleotide ribosomal RNA is filed under the name uncultured bacterium. Its description in RNAcentral is "partial 16S ribosomal RNA". It matches the Rfam family "Bacterial small subunit ribosomal RNA", at positions 28 to 523 of the family's 1533-position model. The record is from RNAcentral.